UGCCAGCCGCCGCGGUAAGACAGAGGGUGCAAGCGUUGUUCGGAUUUACUGGGCGUAAAGCGCGCGUAGGCGGCCAAGUAAGUCAGAUGUGAAAUCCCGGGGCUCAACCCCGGAACUGCAUCUGAAACUGCUUGGCUUGAGUCCCGGAGAGGGUGGUGGAAUUCCUGGUGUAGAGGUGAAAUUCGUAGAUAUCAGGAGGAACAUCGGUGGCGAAGGCGACCACCUGGACGGAGACUGACGCUGAGGUGCGAAAGCGUGGGGAGCGAACAGGAUUAGAUA
RNAcentral lists this ribosomal RNA (279 nucleotides) under uncultured bacterium. RNAcentral's name for it is "partial 16S ribosomal RNA". It matches the Rfam family "Bacterial small subunit ribosomal RNA", at positions 506 to 784 of the family's 1533-position model. The record is from RNAcentral.